RNAcentral lists this ribosomal RNA (465 nucleotides) under Vreelandella stevensii. RNAcentral describes it as "partial 16S ribosomal RNA". It matches the Rfam family "Bacterial small subunit ribosomal RNA", at positions 338 to 795 of the family's 1533-position model. The record is from RNAcentral. Lineage: Bacteria; Pseudomonadati; Pseudomonadota; Gammaproteobacteria; Oceanospirillales; Halomonadaceae.
CCUACGGGAGGCUGCAGUGGGGAAUAUUGGACAAUGGGGGCAACCCUGAUCCAGCCAUGCCGCGUGUGUGAAGAAGGCCCUCGGGUUGUAAAGCACUUUCAGUGAGGAAGAACGCCUGGUGGUUAAUACCCAUCAGGAAAGACAUCACUCACAGAAGAAGCACCGGCUAACUCCGUGCCAGCAGCCGCGGUAAUACGGAGGGUGCGAGCGUUAAUCGGAAUUACUGGGCGUAAAGCGCGCGUAGGUGGCUUGAUAAGCCGGUUGUGAAAGCCCCGGGCUCAACCUGGGAACGGCAUCCGGAACUGUCAAGCUAGAGUGAAGGAGAGGAAGGUAGAAUUCCCGGGGUAGCGGUGAAAUGCGUAGAGAUCGGGAGGAAUACCAGUGGCGAAGGCGGCCUUCUGGACUGACACUGACACUGAGGUGCGAAAGCGUGGGUAGCAAACAGGAUUAGAUACCCGUGUAGUC